Long non-coding RNA from Sapajus apella (tufted capuchin), 1761 nucleotides. RefSeq lists it as uncharacterized. The transcript has 2 exons. The record is from RefSeq and is a predicted model, not a curated record. Lineage: Eukaryota; Metazoa; Chordata; Mammalia; Primates; Cebidae.
UCAUCCACCUGCCUUGGCCUCCCAAAGUGCUGGGAAUACAGGUGUAAGCCACUGCGCCUGGCCACCACUCCACCUACCUUUUAAGUGCUCUAAUUAUUUAAAAAAAGUUUAUCUUUCUAUUUAACUGAAUCUGCCACACAGAAUAUCGCUUUGCUGAUGGGGAAUCUUUUAGGUAUUUGACAAGAUUACUCUGCCUUUUCACGUCUUUCAUUUUCCAGGUUAUGGAUCAUCAGUUCAUUCAACUGUUCCUUAGAUGACGUGGUUUUCACUUCCAUUAUCAUGUGUUGCUGUCAUCCCACUGCUGAGCAGGACACAGUCCCCGGUGAAGAGUGAUCGGUGGGCACUUUACAAUAGUGUUGGUUUUGUUUCCCAGUGUCUCAUUUGCUGUAUUAGAAUGAUUAAAACACAUUAUUAUGUUAUUAUUCCAGAUUUGAUUAAUAGAACUUUGGGUGACUCAUAUAGUAGAGUCGUACCUAUGUGACAGCAUAAUUGGAUCCAAAAUGAAAAAUUCAAUCCACAUAGGCUUUUAUUUUAAGUUGUACCAGAUGACAGGUUUAAUUAAUAGUUUUCAUUGGAUUUUAGCCAAUCCAUUUACCUGAAUUUUUCGAUCAUGUGUUAACAAUGUGUAAACCUAAUGUUAUGUUUCUAAACAUCAUUUCAACCUACAUCUAUUUGGCAUGCUCAGAUUCUGCCAGAAGCUGUGUUAAGUACUAGGGACUUAUUUCUGGAUGGACAAUAAUACAAGGCCCAGCCUUUGAGGAGGAAUGAGAUAUACAAAUUUGUCUCCUAAAAAGGAAGUGCAGACUACCUGGGUCAAGGAACUUAGGGUUCUUAGCUGAUGAAAUGAGUACUCGUCUUCUGGGAAGGCACUCCAGAGGGCAUGCUCUUUGGUCCUAUUCUUGCCGAUCCUCUCCCAUUUAAUACCAUACAUUGAAAUUUUAUGUACUUCUCAAGGCUCUGCUCAGAUGCCUUUCUGCUGUAAGACUGGUCCUCAUACCCUAGCCCGUUUAUAUUCUCUCCUUCUUCCAAACUUCUAUGGCAGGUCACAUUAUACCUGAAGCAAGGUAAGGUUAUUUUCAUACCUGACUAGUCUGCUCCCAUUUGCUUCCAUAGUGCCCAGUCAAUAUUAGUUUGAUUGAGAGAAAACUGUAUUAUAUUUAUUUUUAAUUUUUAUUCCUAACCGCUAGACCACCAAGAAGAGAGAAAAGUAUUUUUUUUUUAGAUAGAACACCUCUGCUAGUUAGGGAAACAAGUUCUAUUUUGAUCUAGACUGCCAAGAGUAUUACUUUUUCUGACUCAGUAUUUUCAUGCAAAGCCAUUGUUCCAUCAGUCAUUUUAAGAGAAGUCAGUUUUGUAUCUAUAGUUAGAUGAUUGCCUACAUACAGAGCACACUUUAAUGAUGAAUUAGAGGAUUCCAAGGUUGCCUUUUAAGUGAAUAUAUACAGAUACUUUCUUUUCUUAUAAAUACUGCAUAGAAACCAAGUUACUCUAUGUUUUGAAAACAACUUCUAGUAUUCUUUGGAUGUAUGGGAAAAAGUCCUCAGGUUAAUUUCCUUAAGGAAAAGCAUCAUAAAUUCAAAGACUGCUUGUUGAAACUGAAGAUCACUUUCUACUGAGUCACCAGAUGUUGAGCAAUAUGAUUUAUAUCAAUAUGCCUUGUGAAAUUGUCAAGUUAAAGAUUGUACAUAUUAGAGAAGAAAAUUUUAUGUCCCUGUAGAGUGACAGGUAUCUUGAGGUUUUCCUGGAAAUAUUAAUUGAAUU